CAGUUCGGAUUGGAGUCUGCAACUCGACUCCAUGAAGCUGGAUUCGCUAGUAAUCGCGCAUCAGCCAUGGCGCGGUGAAUACGUUCCCGGGCCUUGUACACACCGCCCGUCAAGCCAUGGGAGCCGGGGGUGCCUGAAGUACGUGACCGCGAGGAGCGUCCUAGGGCAAAACUGGUGACUGGGGCUAAGUCGUAACAAGGUAAC
RNAcentral lists this ribosomal RNA (204 nucleotides) under uncultured bacterium. Its description in RNAcentral is "partial 16S ribosomal RNA". It matches the Rfam family "Bacterial small subunit ribosomal RNA", at positions 1289 to 1500 of the family's 1533-position model. The record is from RNAcentral.